This 752-nucleotide long non-coding RNA is filed under the name Oryza brachyantha (malo sina). RNAcentral's name for it is "long non-coding RNA (OBRA_LNC002669)". The record is from RNAcentral. Lineage: Eukaryota; Viridiplantae; Streptophyta; Magnoliopsida; Poales; Poaceae.
CGGCGAGACCUGGAGGUGCGUCUUGAGGACAACCGCCGGGUAGAGCGCCGCGGAGACGCCGGAAAACAGCGCGGCGCCGAGCACAAAAAACCUCGACUUGUCAAGCAUCUCCCAGCUCACCUCAGCCGGCAUACCUCUCACCUCCUCAGCCCCACCCACCCUCGCCGUCGCCACUGCAGCGCCGCCAUCCUCGACGUCAACGGCGCCAAAGCUCAUCCCUUUCUCGACGCCCACCCGCAAGCAAAUCCCAGCCACUCCCAGAUCCAGUCAACACUCGCCGCCGCAAGAAGUCAUAGGAGGAGGAGGGGAUGGAGCAUCUCUCGAGCCGAGUGGACGUCGCCGGCGAAGUCCCCGGUCGCCGACGGCAGCAUAUCCGGCGAGGCAAGGCUUCCUCUGUCGUGGGUAGGUGAACGGCAAGGCGACGACGGCGAGCAGUGAGAAGAGAUGGGGGAAUUUCUGGGAUCUCGAGGGGGGUAAGUGAAUAAAUUUAUACGAGAUGAGGAUUAGGUGCCCUCUUGGUGACCGCCACGUGGCAGUAGUAGGCUGCUCAUGCUGAGAUGGGAGUCUUAUCGGCUUUGCGUCAAUCCUAAUUUGGGCUUAAUUCAAGCCCAUGUAUAGAUGAUAGAUUGGGCAAAGUCAAUUGUAAGCGCCGUUGGUUACACCAGAAGAAUAAGCUCUAAUCUUCCUUAAUGACCAUGCAUGUCUUCAAGAUUAAUUAUGGACAAAUUUAGGUGUUAAAAACUGCAUGUUUA